UUUGAGAAGCCUGGUCUAGUGGAAGGUGUUCCUGGUGUGGGGGGUUGAAAUGAGAUGGUUUGUAAGGUCCCUCUUAUCCCAACUCAUUCUGUGGUCGGUCCUAGAAGAGUAUUUCAAUACCCCCCUGUUAAUGUGACUUUCGGGCUUCCUCUCAUGAGUUGUUUCCAUCAGAUCAAGUGUUCUGUGGUUACUGCUACAAUUGCAGACCAAACACACAAAGCCAACAGGCACUCAGAGAAGAAGAAGAUGAAAUGCCAAGAUGGUAACUCUCAGAGCAAGAACCCAGGCAGCUGCAGAGAAUAAGUGCUAACACAGAAAGGGAAGGAUACACCUCUUGUUCCAGGCUCCUCAAGAUGCUGUGAGAUUCUCAG
Molecule: long non-coding RNA, 371 nt
Organism: Passer domesticus (house sparrow)
Lineage: Eukaryota; Metazoa; Chordata; Aves; Passeriformes; Passeridae
Exons: 3
Source: RefSeq, a predicted model, not a curated record